UACGUAGGGAGCAAGCGUUGUCCGGAAUUAUUGGGCGUAAAGCGCGUGUAGGCGGUUCGAUAAGUCGGUUGUGAAAGUCCAGGGCUCAACCCUGGGAUGCCGACCGAUACUGUCGGACUAGAGUCCGGAAGAGGUGAGUGGAAUUCCCGGUGUAGCGGUGAAAUGCGCAGAUAUCGGGAAGAACACCCGUGGCGAAGGCGGUUCUCUGGGACGGUACUGACGCUGAGACGCGAAAGCGUGGGGAGCGAACAGG
This 253-nucleotide ribosomal RNA is filed under the name uncultured bacterium. RNAcentral's name for it is "partial 16S ribosomal RNA". It matches the Rfam family "Bacterial small subunit ribosomal RNA", at positions 524 to 776 of the family's 1533-position model. The record is from RNAcentral.